This 241-nucleotide long non-coding RNA is filed under the name Actinidia chinensis (golden kiwifruit). Its description in RNAcentral is "long non-coding RNA (ACHI_LNC000457)". Lineage: Eukaryota; Viridiplantae; Streptophyta; Magnoliopsida; Ericales; Actinidiaceae. The record is from RNAcentral.
AGAUGCAAUUAACUGAACCUUUGGCAAGAAGACCAAAGAGGGUUUAAUAAACCAAUUAACUAAGGCAUCGGUAAGAAGAACAAAGAGGGUAUAAGAAUCAUUGAAGUAUGAAUUGAAAGUUUCCACAAGAAGAACAAAGGGAUGAUUUAAGAACCCAAUGGGCGGAUAAAUUCAAAUUUCGUCAAGAAGAUCAAGGAGGGUUCAAGAAUCCAAUUAACUGACGAAUUGGAAAUUUGGGCAA